CCGGGGCAUCCCGGAGGCAGGAAAGGCUUCGCCCGGACAGGGAUGGGCAUGCGGCGCAUUAGGCAGUAGGCGGGGUAACGGCCCACCUAACCGACGAUGCGUAGGGGUUCUGAGAGGAAGGUCCCCCACACUGGUACUGAGACACGGACCAGACUCCUACGGGAGGCAGCAGUGAGGAAUAUUGGUCAAUGGGCGCGAGCCUGAACCAGCCAAGUCGCGUGAGGGAAGACGGUCCUAUGGAUUGUAAACCUCUUUUGUCGGGGAGCAAAAGACGCCACGCGUGGCGUUCCGAGAGUACCCGAAGAAAAAGCAUCGGCUAACUCCGUGCCAGCAGCCGCGGUAAUACGGAGGAUGCGAGCGUUAUCCGGAUUUAUUGGGUUUAAAGGGUGCGCAGGCGGAAGAUCAAGUCAGCGGUAAAAUUGAGAGGCUCAACCUCUUCGAGCCGUUGAAACUGGUUUUCUUGAGUGAGCGAGAAGUAUGCGGAAUGCGUGGUGUAGCGGUGAAAUGCAUAGACAUCACGCAGAACUCCGAUUGCGAAGGCAGCAUACCGGCGCUCAACUGACGCUCAUGCACGAAAGUGUGGGUAUCGAACAGGAUUAGAUACCCUGGUAGUCCACACAGUAAACGAUGAAUAAUAAUUGUUCGGG
This 647-nucleotide ribosomal RNA is filed under the name uncultured bacterium. Its description in RNAcentral is "bacterial SSU rRNA". It matches the Rfam family "Bacterial small subunit ribosomal RNA", at positions 183 to 828 of the family's 1533-position model. The record is from RNAcentral.